CAGCACCGGGUUAUGGGCCCAGUGUCUAUCCCAGCACCGGGUUAUGGGCCCAGUGUCAAUCCCAGCACCAGGUUAUGGGCCCAGUGUCUAUCCCAGCACCAGGUUAUGGGCCCAGUGUCUAUCCCAGCACCAGGUUAUGGGCCCAGUGUCUAUCCCAGCACCAGGUUAUGGGCCCAGUGUCUAUCCCAACACCAAGUAAUGAGCAUGGAGUCUAUCCCAGCAGCAGG
Molecule: long non-coding RNA, 227 nt
Organism: Brienomyrus brachyistius
Lineage: Eukaryota; Metazoa; Chordata; Actinopteri; Osteoglossiformes; Mormyridae
Exons: 3
Source: RefSeq, a predicted model, not a curated record